GUCCCCGCCCCCGCCCCGGCCCUGACCGUGGCUGCAGGCGGCGGGCUGCGGGCAGAGCGGGCUGUGGCAGGGCACGCAGGGCCGCAGGUAGUGCUCGCGCACGAUCCGCAGCGUGCGGCCCUGGAAGGUCCUCAGCAGCAGCACCUUCUCCCGCUUCUGCAGCAUGGCGGCGUGUCUCCCGGCGGCCGCGGAGUGGCGGGCGCGGCGGAGGCAAGGCCGCGGCCUCGGACCCGCCCCUCGGCCCUAGGCGCCGCGGCUCCGGAACCGCCGUAACUGCCGCGCCCGGGGGAGGCCCGGAGCUACACGCUCCAGGCUGGGGCCCGGCCCUCCCGGCCUUAGUUUCUUCCCUUCCCUCAGUGGCCUGGACCAGGGCGGAGGGGUGGAAACGACCUACCCCAGAGACGGAGGGAAGACUAGGAUGAUACCUGGACGGCAGGGUCUGGCUCUCUUACCCAGGCUGGAGUGCCCUGGCACAAUCUCAGCUCACUGCAUCCUCCGCCUCCUCGGCUCAAGCCAUCUCCCACCUCCGCCUCCCAAGUACCAGGGACCACAGGCACACACCAGCAUGCCUGGCUAAUGUUCAUAAUUUUUUUUUUUUUUUUUUGUAGAGAUAGGGUUUUGUCAUGUUGCCCAGGCUGGUCUUGAACUCCUGGGCUCAAGUGAUCUAUCAGCCUCAGCCUUCUGAAGUGCUGAGAUUAUAGGCAUGAGCCACCAUGCCUGGCCUAUUUCAGUUUCUAUAGUUCAGAAGUCUGAGCAUGGCUGAGUUAGAUUCUCUGCUCAGGGUUUCACAAGGCCAAAAUCAAGGUGUUGAUUGGGCUGCAAUCACUUCUGGAGCUUGGGGUCUUCUAUCAAGUUCACGUGGUUUUUGGCAGAAUUUAGUUCUUUGUGGUUGUAGGGCCGGGCCUGCAGUUCUCUUGCUGGCUGUUAGCCAGCAGUGCUCAAAGCUCCUGGAGGCCCCUGCGGUUCCUUGCCAUGCCCUUGCACACUUCCAAGCUCUUUCAUCAGAGGAAGCCAGGCACUUUAUGGCCUCACCUUAUCAGAUCAGGCCCACUGAGGAUAAUCUCCUAUGUUCAGGUCAGCUGAUUUGGGACAUUUUUUUUAAAUCUAAAAAAUUUCAAUUUCGUCUAUAAAAUCUCUUCAGAGUGGCACCUACAUUAGCCUUUGACUGAAUAACUAGGAAAAAUGUGUAUGCCAGGGUUCAAGAAUCUUUGGGAGCCAUCUCAGAAUUCUGCCUACCAUGAUGCAUAAUAAUCAUUUGAACUCAAUAAAUUAUAUUUAAAACUAUGGUAUUUGUUAAAUAUUUGAGAGCAGCAUAAAUAAUGUUCUUAAAAAAGGAAUGGAGGCUGGGUGUGGUGGCUCAUGUCUGUAAUCCCAGCAUUUUGAGAGGCUGACGUGGGCGGCUCACUUGAGGCCAGGAGUUCAAAAGUAGCCUGGCCAACAUGGCGAAACCUCAUCUCUCUAAAAAUACAAAAAUUAGCUGGGUGUGGUGGCAUACACCUAUAAUUCCAGCUACUCAGGAGGCUGAGCCAUGAGAAUCACUUGAAUCCAGGGAGCGGAGGUUGCAGUGAGCUGUGAUCAUGCCACUGUACUCCAGCCUGGGUGACAGAGUAAGACUGUCUCAAAAAAGGAAAAAAAAAAAAAAAGGAAUAGGAGAACCAGGCUGGUAAUCCAGAGGCUAGACAAAAGUAAAUACAUGAUGGUGAAUGCCGCCUCGGUUAGUUCAAGCUGAGGGGCAGAGAACUCUGCCAAUAUAUAUUAACCCACAGGCUGUUCAUCUUCAGUAGCACUGAUUUACACCGGGCCCAGAAUUCACUCAGGAAUCCUUGUACAGUGCCCAGCCGCUUUUGCUAUCACAAGAUCAACUUGGGGAGAGGGCAGUGAACUGAAGUCACUUUGAUCCCCUUCCAUUUCUACAAACAAGACCCACUUGGAGAGGGCAGUGAGGCUGGGAGGUGUUGUGGGUGAGAAUAGUCUUCUUCGUUCCACUCCUUUUCCUACCUGUGAGGAAUGAGG
RNAcentral lists this long non-coding RNA (2013 nucleotides) under Homo sapiens (human). RNAcentral's name for it is "HSALNT0381824". The record is from RNAcentral. Lineage: Eukaryota; Metazoa; Chordata; Mammalia; Primates; Hominidae.